RNAcentral lists this ribosomal RNA (251 nucleotides) under uncultured bacterium. RNAcentral describes it as "partial 16S ribosomal RNA". It matches the Rfam family "Bacterial small subunit ribosomal RNA", at positions 57 to 305 of the family's 1533-position model. The record is from RNAcentral.
GCAAGUCGAACGGUAACAUGAGAGCUUGCUCUUGAUGACGAGUGGCGAACGGGUGCGUAACGCGUAUACAAUCUACCCUUAACUGGGGGAUAGCCCGAAGAAAUUCGGAUUAAUACCCUAUAAUAUUUUCCUGUGGCAUCACAGGAUUUUUAAAACUUUGGUGGUUAAGGAUGAGUAUGCGUCCCAUUAGCUAGUUGGUAAGGUAACGGCUUACCAAGGCAACGAUGGGUAGCCGACCUGAGAGGGUGAUC